GUGGGGAAUUUUGGACAAUGGGCGAAAGCCUGAUCCAGCAAUGCCGCGUGUGUGAAGAAGGCCUUCGGGUUGUAAAGCACUUUUGUCCGGAAAGAAAUCCUUUGGGUUAAUACCUCGGAGGGAUGACGGUACCGGAAGAAUAAGGACCGGCUAACUACGUGCCAGCAGCCGCGGUAAUACGUAUGGUCCGAGCGUUAAUCGGAAUUACUGGGCGUAAAGCGUGCGCAGGCGGUUUUGUAAGACAGAUGUGAAAUCCCCGGGCUUAACCUGGGAAUUGCAUUUGUGACUGCAAGGCUAGAGUGUGUCAGAGGGGGGUAGAAUUCCACGUGUAGCAGUGAAAUGCGUAGAGAUGUGGAGGAAUACCGAUGGCGAAGGCAGCCCCCUGGGAUAACACUGACGCUCAUGCACGAAAGCGUGGGGAGCAAACAGGAUUAGAAACCCUAGUAGUCC
This 450-nucleotide ribosomal RNA is filed under the name uncultured bacterium. Its description in RNAcentral is "partial 16S ribosomal RNA". It matches the Rfam family "Bacterial small subunit ribosomal RNA", at positions 354 to 796 of the family's 1533-position model. The record is from RNAcentral.